This 1398-nucleotide ribosomal RNA is filed under the name metagenome. RNAcentral's name for it is "bacterial LSU rRNA". It matches the Rfam family "Bacterial large subunit ribosomal RNA", at positions 1538 to 2925 of the family's 2925-position model. The record is from RNAcentral.
AAAUCCGUCAUUCACAUGCCUGAGAUCUGAUGGGGAGACGUUUUAGUCGAAGUGAGUGAUCCUAUGCUGCCGAGAAAAGCAUCUAGCGAGAUCUAGAGCCGCCCGUACCCCAAACCGACUCAGGUGGUCAGGUAGAGAAUACUAAGGUGAUCGAGUGAACCAUGGUUAAGGAACUCGGCAAAAUGCCCCCGUAACUUCGGGAGAAGGGGGGCCGGAUUCGUUAUCGGACUUGCUCCGAGAAGCGUUGAAGGCCGCAGAGACCAGGCCCAAGCGACUGUUUACUAAAAACACAGGUCCGUGCUAAGUCGAAAGACGCCGUAUACGGACUGACUCCUGCCCGGUGCUGGAAGGUUAAGGGGACGUGUCAGCGCAAGCGAAGCACAGAACUUAAGCCCCAGUAAACGGCGGUGGUAACUAUAACCAUCCUAAGGUAGCGAAAUUCCUUGUCGGGUAAGUUCCGACCUGCACGAAUGGAGUAACGACUUGGGCGCUGUCUCAACCAUGGACUCGGCGAAAUUGCACUACGAGUAAAGAUGCUCGUUACGCGCGGCAGGACGGAAAGACCCCGGGACCUUUACUAUAGUUUGGUAUUGGUGUUUGGUUCAGUUUGUGUAGGAUAGGUGGGAGACUUUGAAGCUUGGACGCCAGUUCAGGUGGAGUCAUCGUUGAAAUACCACUCUGGCUGUACUAGAUAUCUAACCUAGGUCCAUUAUCUGGAUCAGGGACAGUGCCUGAUGGGUAGUUUAACUGGGGCGGUUGCCUCCUAAAAUGUAACGGAGGCGCUCAAAGGUUCCCUCAGCCUGGUUGGCAAUCAGGUUUCGAGUGUAAGUGCACAAGGGAGCUUGACUGUGAGAGUGACAGCUCGAGCAGGGACGAAAGUCGGAACUAGUGAUCCGGCGCUGGCAAGUGGAAGCGGCGUCGCUCAACGGAUAAAAGGUACCCCGGGGAUAACAGGCUGAUCUUCCCCAAGAGUCCAUAUCGACGGGAUGGUUUGGCACCUCGAUGUCGGCUCGUCGCAUCCUGGGGCCGUAGCAGGUCCCAAGGGUUGGGCUGUUCGCCCAUUAAAGCGGCACGCGAGCUGGGUUUAGAACGUCGUGAGACAGUUCGGUCCCUAUCCGCCGCGCGCGUAGGAAACUUGAGAAAAUCUGUCCCUAGUACGAGAGGACCGGGAUGGACGAACCUCUGGUGUGCCAGUUGUUCUGCCAAGAGCACCGCUGGUUAGCUACGUUCGGAAGCGAUAACCGCUGAAAGCAUCUAAGCGGGAAGCGUGUUUCAAGAUGAGGUUUCCCACUGGUUUACCAGGUAAGGCCCCCAGCAGACCACUGGGUUGAUAGGCCGGAGGUGGAAGUGCAGCAAUGCAUGGAGCCGACCGGUACUAAUAGGCCGAGGGCUUGUUUG